AUGGCGUCCGUCUACACCGCGCCCCGCGCGCCGCUGGCCGCUACGGCCGCCUCCUUCCCCUCCUCGUACUCGUCCUCGCGGCAGCUGGACCCCAACCCUAGCCGAUUCCUCGCUGCGCACCGCGGCCAGCGGCUCCUCCGCGUCCGCCGCCUGGCGGGCGCCGCGCCAACUCGCCGCGCCUCCGACGCCGCCUCGGUGUUCCGGUGCAGCGCGCGCAGCCCCGGCGCGGACCCCGGCGGCGACCGACGCCGAGGCUGGGAUGCUCUCUUCCACGACGCCUUCCAGGGCGCCGUGCGGCGGUGGAGCGAGUACGUCGGGAAUUACUGGCCCUCGGCACACCCCUCGAAGGAGGCGGGUCUCGCGACGGGAGCGGAGAGUUCUCACGAACUGGAGGAGCGAGGGCAAGGAGUGGAGGAAGACGGUGAGGAGGUGGACGUGGUGCAGGAAGAAGGGAAGUGGAGCUGGGAGAGGUGGAAGCAGCACUUCGCCCUCAUCCAGGAGAGCGAGCGCCUUGUUGAUGAACUGCAGCUACAACUCCGCACUGCUGUGUGUAGAGAAGACUAUAGGAGUGCCCACAAACUGAAGUUAGCUAUUGCUGCUACAUCAAGAAAUGAUACUGUCGGCAGAGCAAUAUCUGAGUUACAUAGGGCCAUAGAAGAGGAGCGCUAUGUGGAUGCAGCUUAUAUUAGAGACCACGCUGGUGCAGGACUGUUGGGAUGGUGGUCUGGGAUUUCUGGAAGUUUGUCUGAUCCAUAUGGUCUUAUAAUCCGUAUAAGCGCUGAACAUGGUCGAUACGUGGCAAAAAGUUAUGAUAUCAGGCAGCUGGCUUCAGAUGGCCAUGGUUACCCUAUAUUCGAAAUUUAUUUUGCAGAGGCAAAUGGAGGAUACAACCUGCAGGCAGUGCAUCUGAAACCAGAUGUCAGUGAUUCAGACCAGUUGCGAAAUAUGUUGAGUGGAAAACUAGAUUUUAACAAUAUAAACAUAUCUAGCAGUUCCUUAGGCGCUAAACACGAGGAACACGAUGAAGGCAUAAACAUGGACGAUCAAAAUAGCGAUGAUAGUGAUGUUGCUGCUGGUCCAGCUGGUUUGAAAAACUUGUCAAAUGAUUCAACUCCAAUUCCCAGGAUCAAAAUUUUGAAGGUAGCGCCUAUGGAAAACAUCAACCAGGACUAUAUAAUUAAAAUAUUUGACCAGAUUUCAGAGGAAGAUGAUGACAAUGAUGAAGCUGAUAUCGGAAAUGAAUCUUCACAAGAUAUUGGUGAUGAAGAUAACAAUGAAGAAGCAGGAACAAUUUCUGCAGAAGAGAAUAAUGACGAGUCUGGUGAGGAAAGUGAUAUUGAAGCAUUGUUAUCGAUUGGAAUUGAAGUUGACAAUGAUAAGGAUUUUGCUUCGCAGUCCUCACCUAAAACUUUUGAACGCAUGCCAGCUAAAUUAGACAAGAGAGACCGCUUUUCAUUUACCUUCUAUACUGAACAAUCCAGUAACAAGCCAGCUGCAGAAAAGGCUCAACACAUUCCAAGGAAACGAGUUGGCUUCCGUACCACUGAGCAGGAUGGUGAUCUCAAGUUUGAUCGUGUAAAGUUGUCUGGGGGCAAUAGGAAACUACCGAUACUACAACUUGGUAUUAAGCAACUUAAUAAUAAGGUUCAACCAAAACUAUAUGGAGUUACCCACUUCAGCCGUAUUCAGAUGCCCAUCUCUUCAGAUCCUCUUAGUGGUCUAUAUGAGACUGCAUCUGGGUUUGACUCAGAAGUUCUUAGUUUACAACGGAAAUUCGGUCAAUGGCAGGAGGAUGAUUCAUCUGAGGAGCACUCGGAUCUUAAGUUUUAUGAGUAUGUCGAAGCUGCAAAAUUGACUGGGGACAAUCUUGUGCCAGCGGGUCAGGUUGUCUUCCGUGCGAAAGUUGGCAAACACUAUCAGCUUCCUCAUAAGGGGGUCAUCCCUAGAGAACUUGGAGUGGUUGCUAGGUAUAAGGGGCAAAGGAGAAUUGCAGAUGCUGGUUUCAAAAAUCCUCGAUGGGUUGACGGCGAGCUUUUGAUACUAGAUGGAAAGUUCAUCAGAGAUGGUCCCGUGAUAGCUUUCUUCUACUGGACAUCAAAUCUCCAUCUUUUUGAAUUCUUUAGGCGGUUGAGUCUUCCUGACUAG
Molecule: ribosomal RNA, 2145 nt
Filed under: Triticum aestivum (bread wheat)
Lineage: Eukaryota; Viridiplantae; Streptophyta; Magnoliopsida; Poales; Poaceae
Description: partial small subunit ribosomal RNA
Source: RNAcentral